AACGAACGCUGGCGGCAUGCCUAACACAUGCAAGUCGAACGAGACCUUCGGGUCUAGUGGCGCACGGGUGCGUAACGCGUGGGAAUCUGCCCUUGGGUUCGGAAUAACAGUUAGAAAUGACUGCUAAUACCGGAUAAUGUCUUCGGACCAAAGAUUUAUCGCCCAGGGAUGAGCCCGCGUAGGAUUAGCUAGUUGGUGAGGUAAAGGCUCACCAAGGCGACGAUCCUUAGCUGGUCUGAGAGGAUGAUCAGCCACACUGGGACUGAGACACGGCCCAGACUCCUACGGGAGGCAGCAGUGGGGAAUAUUGGACAAAUGGGCGAAAGCCUGAUCCAGCAAUGCCGCGUGAGUGAUGAAGGCCUUAGGGUUGUAAAGCUCUUUUACCCGGGAUGAUAAUGACAGUACCGGGAGAAUAAAGCCCCGGCUAACUCCGUGCCAGCAGCCGCGGUAAU
RNAcentral lists this ribosomal RNA (452 nucleotides) under uncultured bacterium. Its description in RNAcentral is "bacterial SSU rRNA". It matches the Rfam family "Bacterial small subunit ribosomal RNA", at positions 29 to 524 of the family's 1533-position model. The record is from RNAcentral.